AGAAUCAACGCUGGCGGCGUGCCUCAGACAUGCAAGUCGAACGAUUAAAGCUCUCUUCGGAGAGUGUAUAGAGUGGCGCACGGGUGAGUAACACGUAAGUAAUCUACCCUCGAGUGGGGAAUAACGUCCGGAAACGGACGCUAAUACCGCAUAAUGCAGUGGCACCGCAAGGUGACAGUUGUUAAAGAUUUAUCGCUUGAGGAGGAGCUUGCGGCAGAUUAGCUAGUUGGUAAGGUAAUGGCUUACCAAGGCUACGAUCUGUAACCGGUCUAAGAGGACGGUCGGUCACACUGACACUGAAUAACGGGUCAGACUCCUACGGGAGGCAGCAGUCGGGAAUUUUGGGCAAUGGGCGAAAGCCUGACCCAGCAACGCCGCGUGAAGGAUGAAGUAUUUCGGUAUGUAAACUUCGAAAGAAUGGGAAGAAUCAAUGACGGUACCAUUUAUAAGUCCGGCUAACUACGUGCCAGCAGCCGC
This 477-nucleotide ribosomal RNA is filed under the name uncultured soil bacterium. RNAcentral's name for it is "bacterial SSU rRNA". It matches the Rfam family "Bacterial small subunit ribosomal RNA", at positions 26 to 518 of the family's 1533-position model. The record is from RNAcentral.